GACGACCGGCGCACGGGUGCGUAACGCGUAUAGAACCUACCUUUUACAGAGGAAUAGCCUUUAGAAAUGAAGAUUAAUGCCUCAUGGUAUUGUAGACUGGCAUCAGUUUAUAAUUAAAGAUUUAUCGGUAAAAGAUGGCUAUGCGUCCUAUUAGUUAGUUGGUAAGGUAACGGCUUACCAAGACAGCGAUAGGUAGGGGUCCUGAGAGGGAGAUCCCCCACACUGGUACUGAGACACGGACCAGACUCCUACGGGAGGCAGCAGUGAGGAAUAUUGGACAAUGGAGGAGACUCUGAUCCAGCCAUGCCGCGUGUAGGAAGAAUGCCCUAUGGGUUGUAAACUACUUUUAUACAGGAAGAAACACUGGUAUGUAUACCAGCUUGACGGUACUGUAAGAAUAAGGACCGG
Molecule: ribosomal RNA, 408 nt
Filed under: uncultured Polaribacter sp.
Lineage: Bacteria; Pseudomonadati; Bacteroidota; Flavobacteriia; Flavobacteriales; Flavobacteriaceae
Description: bacterial SSU rRNA
Rfam family: Bacterial small subunit ribosomal RNA
Source: RNAcentral